This 738-nucleotide ribosomal RNA is filed under the name uncultured archaeon S30-18. Its description in RNAcentral is "bacterial SSU rRNA". It matches the Rfam family "Archaeal small subunit ribosomal RNA", at positions 123 to 859 of the family's 1478-position model. The record is from RNAcentral.
GGCAUAACUCCGGGAACCUGGAGAUAAUUCCGGAUAACGCAUAUAUGCUGGAAUGCUUUAUGCGUAAAAUGGAUUCGUCUGCCCAAGGAUGGGUCUGCGGCCUAUCAGGUAGUAGUGGGUGUAAUGUACCUACUAGCCUACGACGGGUACGGGUUGUGAGAGCAAGAGCCCGGAGAUGGAUUCUGAGACAUGAAUCCAGGCCCUACGGGGCGCAGCAGGCGCGAAAACUUUACAAUGCGGGAAACCGUGAUAAGGGGACACCGAGUGCCAGCAUCAUAUGCUGGCUGUCCAGGUGUGUAAAAUACACCUGUUAGCAAGGGCCGGGCAAGACCGGUGCCAGCCGCCGCGGUAACACCGGCGGCCCGAGUGGUGAUCGUGAUUAUUGGGUCUAAAGGGUCCGUAGCCGGUUUGGUCAGUCCUCCGGGAAAUCUGAUAGCUCAACUAUUAGGCUUUCGGAGGAUACUGCCAGACUUGGAACCGGGAGAGGUAAGAGGUACUACAGGGGUAGGAGUGAAAUCUUGUAAUCCCUGUGGGACCACCUGUGGCGAAGGCGUCUUACCAGAACGGGUUCGACGGUGAGGGACGAAAGCUGGGGGCACGAACCGGAUUAGAUACCCGGGUAGUCCCAGCCGUAAACGAUGCUCGCUAGGUGUCAGGCAUGGCGCGACCGUGUCUGGUGCCGCAGGGAAGCCGUGAAGCGAGCCACCUGGGAAGUACGGCCGCAAGGCUGAAACUUAA